AUAGCUACUGUGAGUGUGA
RNAcentral lists this microRNA (19 nucleotides) under Ciona intestinalis (vase tunicate). RNAcentral's name for it is "cin-miR-4150-5p". Lineage: Eukaryota; Metazoa; Chordata; Ascidiacea; Phlebobranchia; Cionidae. The record is from miRBase by way of RNAcentral.